UAAACACUGGUAGCACAAUACACACGCUGCCCGCCCGGGAACUACGAGCAUCAGCUUAAAACCCAAAGGACUUGGCGGUGCUUAAGAUCCCCCUAGAGGAGCCUGUUCUAGAACCGAUAACCCCCGUUCAACCUCACCCUCCCUUGUUCUUUUCCGCCUAUAUACCGCCGCCGUCAGCUUACCCUGUGAAGGGUCUACAGUAAGCAAAAUUGGCACUGCCCAAAACGUCAGGUCGAGGUGUAGCGUAUGAGAGGGGAAGAAAUGGGCUACAUUCCCUGAUACAGGGCAUACGGAUAGUAAAAUGAAAAUGUUACUUGAAGGAGGAUUUAGUAGUAAGUAAAGAGUAGAGAGCUUUACUGAAAUCGGCCCUAAAGCGCGUACACACCGCCCGUCCACUCUCCCCAAGCUAUAAGUUUAAGUUAAAUAAAAAAUGUAAAAUGCAAAGGGGAGGCAAGUCGUAACAUGGUAAGGGUACCGGAAGGUGCCCUUGGACUAAC
RNAcentral lists this ribosomal RNA (497 nucleotides) under Dario hysginon. RNAcentral describes it as "partial 12S ribosomal RNA". It matches the Rfam family "Bacterial small subunit ribosomal RNA", at positions 801 to 1527 of the family's 1533-position model. The record is from RNAcentral. Lineage: Eukaryota; Metazoa; Chordata; Actinopteri; Anabantiformes; Badidae.